UACGUAGGGACCAAGCGUUGUUCGGAUUUACUGGGCGUAAAGGGCGCGUAGGCGGUUUGCUAAGUUGGAUGUGAAAACUCUGGGCUUAACCCAGAGCCUGCAUCCAAAACUGGCUGACUUGAGUACUGGAGGGGAAAGCGGAAUUCCUGGUGUAGCGGUGAAAUGCGCAGAUAUCAGGAGGAACACCGAUGGCGAAGGCAGGUCUCUGGGCCGAUACUGACGCUGAGGAGCGAAAGCGUGGGGAGCGAACAGG
This 253-nucleotide ribosomal RNA is filed under the name uncultured bacterium. RNAcentral's name for it is "partial 16S ribosomal RNA". It matches the Rfam family "Bacterial small subunit ribosomal RNA", at positions 524 to 776 of the family's 1533-position model. The record is from RNAcentral.